Molecule: ribosomal RNA, 465 nt
Filed under: uncultured bacterium
Lineage: Bacteria
Description: partial 16S ribosomal RNA
Rfam family: Bacterial small subunit ribosomal RNA
Source: RNAcentral
CUACGGGGGGCUCCAGUGGGGAAUAUUGGACAAUGGGGGAAACCCUGAUCCAGCAAUGCCGCGUGUGUGAAGAAGGCCUGCGGGUUGUAAAGCACUUUCGGUUGGGAGGACUGCUUCUAGCACUAAUAUUGUUGGAAGUUGACGUUACCUUCAGAAGAAGCACCGGCUACCUCCGUGCCAGCAGCCGCGGUAAUACAGAGGUGGCGAGCGCUGUUCGGAUUUACUGGGCGUAAAGGGCGCGUAGGCGGUACAGUAUGUCGGGUGUGAAAUCUCCAGGCUCAACCUGGAAAGUGCGCCCGAAACUGCUGAACUAGAGUACGGGAGGGGAGAUCGGAAUACAAGGUGUAGCGGUGAAAUGCGUUGAUAUCUUGUAGAACACCGGUGGCGAAGGCGGAUCUCUGGAACGUAACUGACGCUGAAGCGCGAAAGUCGGGGGAGCGAACAGGAUUAGAUACCCGAGUAGUC